This 844-nucleotide ribosomal RNA is filed under the name uncultured bacterium. Its description in RNAcentral is "bacterial SSU rRNA". It matches the Rfam family "Bacterial small subunit ribosomal RNA", at positions 1 to 835 of the family's 1533-position model. The record is from RNAcentral.
GAAUUCACUAGUGAUUAGACUUUGAUCAUGGCUCAGGAUGAACGCUGGCGGUGCGCCUAACACAUGCAAGUCGAACGAAGGAUUGUGAAGGAACUUUACGGAGGGAAAACACAAUGACUGAGUGGCGGACGGGUGAGUAACGCGUAGGGAACCUGGCCCUUACAGGGGGAUAACAGAUGGAAACAACUGCUAAUACCGCAUAAGCACCCAGCCUCGCAUGAGGCAGAGUGAAAAACUAAGGUGGUAAGGGAUGGCCCUGCGUCCGAUUAGCUAGUUGGUAUGGUAACGGCAUACCAAGGCGACGAUCGGUAGCCGGCCUGAGAGGGUGGACGGCCACAUUGGGACUGAGACACGGCCCAAACUCCUACGGGAGGCAGCAGUGGGGGAUAUUGCACAAUGGGGGAAACCCUGAUGCAGCGACACCGCGUGGGUGAAGAAGCGCUUCGGCGUGUAAAGCCCUAUCAGUGGGGAAGAAAAAGGACGGUACCCAAAGAAGAAGCACCGGCUAAAUACGUGCCAGCAGCCGCGGUAAUACGUAUGGUGCAAGCGUUAUCCGGAAUGACUGGGUGUAAAGGGAGCGUAGACGGUUGUACAAGUCUGAUGUGAAAGCCCACGGCUCAACUGUGGGAGUGCAUUGGAAACUGUAGAACUAGAGUAUCGGAGAGGCAAGUGGAAUUCCUAGUGUAGCGGUGAAAUGCGUAGAUAUUAGGAGGAACACCAGUGGCGAAGGCGGCUUGCUGGACGAAAACUGACGUUGAGGCUCGAAAGCGUGGGGAGCAAACAGGAUUAGAUACCCUGGUAGUCCACGCUGUAAACGAUGAAUACUAGGUGUUGGGGCCCGAAG